GUUGGGAACUGUGCACCAAUGAGCAAAGCACUUAUGGGAGAAAGAGGUUGACUGUCCUGUUGCUCUGGGUACCUGUUGGUUAGGGAUGGUAUUUGGAUCCUGCCUACUGAAAUGCCUGUGUAUUUUGCACUGCACGGGUGCUGAAUUAGAAAAGAGACUGAAUAAUCUGGAAAGCAAGAUUUGCUGGCUGCCCUGCGGUAUGGUUUCACUCAAGGGAGUGCAGCUUUCAUUUGCUAAGUCUCAGUGAGCUGUUAACCAGUGUACCAUACAAUGAAAUAGGAGAUGGAAAAGUGUUGUCCAGGGAGUCACCGGCAGGAGUUAAAGAGCUGGCCUUUACAACUUGAAAUAGUGUUUGGGUCCUUACAUCAAUUUAUGUACCAACACACGAGGACGACAGAGUUGUGUAUAACAGAGGUUUGCAGAAAUCAGAGAUGGGUGGUUAUCUUAAGUCCCAUAAGCAGGUGGAUUUAGAAGACCAUGUCAGCUUAAUGCAGAAAAUAAAUAUACAGGAAUGUGGCAGAAGUAGACCAUGGCAUAAUACCGUGAAAAGGGAUCGGCCACCAGUCAGGGACCCCCCUGGUUCUGCUCUGAGUGGGACGGGGAUGGAGCAGGAGCUGCACCUCAGCACCGUGCUGCCUCUCUGACAAGGUUUACAACCACUUUCCCGUCGUAUUUGGAGCCGGCGUGUGCUGCUCUGCCAUUGUACAGGUAUGACUAAGUACUGUCUGCUCCCAUUGAAUGUGGUAUCAUUUGUCUUACGUGAUGCAGGCUGGCUGCACAACACGACAGCACACAGUGACAGUAAUUUGCACUGAUCUGCCCCCACUGCUAGUCCUGCUGCUACAAAUAGCAAUUGAUUAUAAUGCUGUAGUGUUAUUGACUGUCACUAUGAACACAAGCUUUAUUUCAUUUUUAAAGUAACACACCACAGAUUUACUUAGCAGACAUGGAGCAAUAACAACAACAACAAAAAGAACAAAACCAAAACAAUUUGAGGCAAGGAGGAGGCAGAGGCAGCAUUGCAUAAAACACAGAAAGAAAAAAAAAAAAUUAACAUCCUUAGAUUAUUAACAUACUGCAAAAGAACAGAAAAGCUAUAGCUGGUAUAAAAGGAUGAAUCUGUCCAUAUUUCAGAGGAACAAUACUGAUUUACAUCACCUGAGGAUCUUGCCUGAAGCAUUUGAGUCAUGGAAAUCUCCCAGAUCCAUCAGAAUGUGGGGGAAAAACCAAGUCAGCCUUUAAAAAUCAUUAUAAUUAUAGUCAAAAUCAGGAUCUGCUGAGGCAGCAAAAUGCAUUAAUACUGCUCUGGAUUUACCCUGGCCUCUGAUUCUCCCUCCCCUCAGUUCAGGAUACAGUUUUUGAUCCAGGUUGUUAAAACAGA
Molecule: long non-coding RNA, 1381 nt
Filed under: Anas platyrhynchos platyrhynchos (common mallard)
Lineage: Eukaryota; Metazoa; Chordata; Aves; Anseriformes; Anatidae
Description: lncRNA (ENSAPLG00000024787.1)
Source: RNAcentral